Non-coding RNA from Meleagris gallopavo (turkey), 194 nucleotides. NCBI's taxonomy places the organism in Eukaryota, Metazoa, Chordata, Aves, Galliformes, Phasianidae. The record is from RefSeq and is a predicted model, not a curated record.
UGUGACCUCUGAGCAGCUCCUCGGAGCCGGGCUCAGCGGUAAGGUGCACAGUUCGCCUUUUGCCUGCCUUACGGUGUUUGUCACCUUUUUUUUCCUGCAGCUGAGCUCCAAAGAUGGUGCGCUACUCGCUGGAUCCGGAGAACCCCACCAAGUCAUGCAAGUCCAGGGGCUCCAACUUGCGUGUGCACUUCAAG